CACAUUUUGGCUUCAUUAGUGCGACGACGCGACAGUUACCGGACGCGUAUCCCUUGAAAUAAUUAAGUUACCUUGUGUCGCUUUAUUUCACUUUCAAUAUCGUUUAAAUAUUUAAAAUUAGCCUUAGAAAAGUAGAAGAAUAUUUGUUCAAAUGUUAACUGUUUGCCACAUGCGAAAAAAUCAAGAAAAUCGCCUAUUCAGGAGUUCAACCAAAAUAUUAUGAAGGUAAUGGAAGAUUCCAGAAGAAAAAUAUAGAAAUGGCCGCCAUGUUGAGUCGGGCCACCAUUUGAUGUUUCUAUGACGCCUGUAACCGCGGCCGUAGUCCACCCACGACGACAUAUACUGAUACAGCCUGCGCUAAGGAGGACUCCGCUGAGGCGGUGACGACUUCUCGUGAUGGAGCCCUGGGCGCCCCAUUUACAGAUGCUGUGCAUUCUGCCUUCGCGGUCGCUGCUUCAUAUUGUGAAUAAGAAAUAAAUGUUAUAUAAUAAAUUA
Molecule: long non-coding RNA, 495 nt
Filed under: Pectinophora gossypiella (pink bollworm)
Lineage: Eukaryota; Metazoa; Arthropoda; Insecta; Lepidoptera; Gelechiidae
Description: uncharacterized LOC126380539
Source: RNAcentral